CGGAGUGUAGCUCAGCCCGGUAGAGCACUGCCUUCGGGAGGCAGGGGCCGGAGGUUCGAAUCCUCUCACUCCGACCA
This 77-nucleotide transfer RNA is filed under the name Rhodospirillales bacterium. RNAcentral describes it as "tRNA-Pro". It matches the Rfam family "tRNA". Rfam says of the family: Transfer RNA (tRNA) molecules are approximately 80 nucleotides in length. Their secondary structure includes four short double-helical elements and three loops (D, anti-codon, and T loops). The record is from RNAcentral. Lineage: Bacteria; Pseudomonadati; Pseudomonadota; Alphaproteobacteria; Rhodospirillales.